AGGGCACCACCAGGAGUGGAGCCUGCGGCUUAAUUUGACUCAACACGGGAAAACUCACCCGGCCCGGACACUGGAAGGAUUGACAGAUUGAGAGCUCUUUCUUGAUUCAGUGGGUGGUGGUGCAUGGCCGUUCUUAGUUGGUGAGCGAUUUGUCUGGUUAAUUCCGAUAACGAACGAGACUCUAGCCUACUAAAUAGAUCGUUGGCUUACAAACGCCAAUGAGACUUCUUAGAGGGACAGGCGGCGAUUCAGCCGCACGAACAGAGCAAUAACCAGGUCUGUGAUGCCCUUUAGAUGUCCGGGGGCCGGCACGGCGCGCUACACUGAAAUGGUCAGGGGUGGAUUCCCCACCUUUGGCCCGAAGGGCCUGGGGGAAUCCGAUGGAACUUCCUUCGGGGAUGGGAAUGGAGCUUUUUGUAUUUUUCGCUCAUGGACCCAAGAAAUCCCAAGUGAGCGCGCAAUCAUAAAGCUCGCGGUUGAAUACCGCCCCUGCCCCUUGGGAAAAACGGGCGGUGGUAA
Molecule: ribosomal RNA, 519 nt
Filed under: uncultured eukaryote
Lineage: Eukaryota
Description: bacterial SSU rRNA
Rfam family: Eukaryotic small subunit ribosomal RNA
Source: RNAcentral